Molecule: non-coding RNA, 24 nt
Filed under: Mus musculus (house mouse)
Lineage: Eukaryota; Metazoa; Chordata; Mammalia; Rodentia; Muridae
Source: RNAcentral
UGAUGACGGAGGCUUUAUCUGUGG